UACGAGAGGCCCAAACGUUAUUCGGAAUUACUGGGCUUAAAGAGUUCGUAGGCGGCAUUGCAAGUAGGGUGUGAAAGCCCUCGGCUCAACCGAGGAAUUGCGCUCUAAACUGCAGUGCUUGAGGAACCUAGAGGUGAGCAGAACAGAUGGUGGAGCGGUGAAAUGCGUUGAUAUCAUCUGGAAUACCGGAGGCGAAGGCGGCUCACUGGGAGUUUUCUGACGCUGAGGAACGAAAGCGUGGGGAGCGAACAGG
RNAcentral lists this ribosomal RNA (253 nucleotides) under uncultured bacterium. RNAcentral's name for it is "partial 16S ribosomal RNA". It matches the Rfam family "Bacterial small subunit ribosomal RNA", at positions 524 to 776 of the family's 1533-position model. The record is from RNAcentral.